Molecule: ribosomal RNA, 450 nt
Filed under: uncultured Glomeromycotina
Lineage: Eukaryota; Fungi; Glomeromycota
Description: SSU rRNA
Rfam family: Eukaryotic small subunit ribosomal RNA
Source: RNAcentral
AGCAGCCGCGGUAAUUCCAGCUCCAAUAGCGUAUAUUAAAGUUGUUGCAGUUAAAAAGCUCGUAGUUGAAUUUCGGGGUCAGUGCGUUGGUCGUGCCUUCGGUACGUACUAACGUUAUUGAUUCCUACCUUCUGACGAACCGUGAUGUCAUUAAUUUGGUGUUACGGGGAAUCAGGACUGUUACCUUGAAAAAAUUAGAGUGUUUAAAGCAGGCCAAAGCUUGAAUACAUUAGCAUGGAAUAAUGAAAUAGGACGUUUGACCCUAUUUUGUUGGUUUCUAGGAUCGACGUAAUGAUUAAUAGGGAUAGUUGGGGGCAUUAGUAUUCAAUUGUCAGAGGUGAAAUUCUUGGAUUUAUUGAAGACUAACUACUGCGAAAGCAUUUGCCAAGGAUGUUUUCAUUAAUCAAGAACGAAAGUUAGGGGAUCGAAGACGAUCAGAUACCGUCGUAG